This 2337-nucleotide long non-coding RNA is filed under the name Olea europaea subsp. europaea. The record is from RNAcentral. Lineage: Eukaryota; Viridiplantae; Streptophyta; Magnoliopsida; Lamiales; Oleaceae.
AUAAAAUGAAAAAUCCCAAAACUGAAAAUUUCGGGGAAGAAAAAUGAUGAACCCUAAAUCUGAUAAUACAGUAUAAAAAAUUCUCACGAAUUCGCAGGGAAAUAGGUCUACUUUUUCUUGAUUCCCACGUCAAAAUUUCUCACAGCAAAAACAUUUCAAUUCUAGUAUACGCGAAUAUAUUCGAUGCUAUUCCGAAGGCUAUGCGUCACUUUAUCGAAAUCUUGCGACUACCCUUUUUUUCUUUCCCCAAAAUUGAUAAACCCUUUGGCUAGUUUAAACUCAAACCCAGAAUUUAUAUCGAAUUGUGAAUCCGUGAAACUAAGUUUUCGGAGGCGGUUGUCAGUGAAUUCACACAAUUUGGAGUCCAAAAACGCUGCUAGUCCCACUAUGGAUGAUCCUAGGAGGCCCCCAGUCGUUCCCAUUCCACCCCCGGAAACUGCCGAACCGGCCGAGGUAUUCAGGGCCCUGGAGGCCUCUUUGGGCUCGCAAUUUAGCUCUCAGCCCAUAGUCCCGAACCCUGGACCUUUGAUUAUUGUGAUAAGUGGACCCAGUGGUGUUGGCAAAGAUGCUGUGAUCAAAAGAUUGAGAGAAGUUAGAGAAAAUUUGCAUUUUGUGGUUACAGCAACUAGCCGGGCUAAAAGGCCUGGAGAAGUUGACGGAAAAGACUACUUUUUUGUGAGUAAAGAGAAAUUUUUGUCCAUGAUCCAGAAAAACGAGCUCUUGGAGUAUGCAUUGGUGUAUGGUGAUUAUAAGGGGAUACCAAAGCAGCAGAUUAGGCAGUACGUGGAGAAAGGGUGUGACAUUGUGUUGAGAGUGGAUAUACAGGGUGCCAUAACGUUGAGAAGGAUCUUGAGAAAGAGUGCGAUUUUUGUGUUUUUAGUGGCAGAGAGUGAGGAGGCAUUGGUAAAGAGAUUGAUUGAUAGGAAGACAGAAACGAAGGAGACUCUGCUCAUGAGGGUGGCAACAGCUAGGGAAGAGGUGAGGCAUUUGAAAGAGUUCGAUUAUGUGGUUGUAAACAAGGAAGGUGAGUUGGAGAGCUCAGUAAAGCUGGUGGAGUCUAUUAUUGAUGCUGAGAAGGCUAAAGUGCAGCAAACUAGAGUGGUCAUUUAGAUAAGAUCCCCUUUAAAAAAUUUGGGUUAGUAAAGUGCAUGUUGAAACUUAAUGGAGUACCUGUGAAACUCACUUUGUUAUGGCAUAUUGUCAUCGGUUAUGUUCUUAAAUCUUAGCAAUGUUUGACCGUUUUUCCAAUGAUUGAUUCCUCUGUGCGUCAAUGAGUCUAUUCGUGAGGCCACUGCGUCAAUGUUUCUUGGAUCUUUGAAUUUGGGUGAGUAUGUCUGUAUCUUACAAUUGCUGAAUUUUUAAAUUAAAAGAGCACUAUUUUGCUAUAACUUCCUAGCAAAGCACAAUCUUUUGCAUUCAAAAUUGAUGAUUGUGUUUGCAUACCUAUCUUGUUAUGUAACUCGAGAGUUGUUCUUUCUACCUUCUUUCUUGUUGGCACUAUAGGCAUUUUUUUCUAUUCCAAUUUUACUAUUGCUUUUAUGAUAUAGGAAUUUUAUAUUUUUUUAUCUUUUGUGGGUAACUCUCAAUGAGAGGAGGCUCCUGAAUGUAGUAAAAAUGCACGUCACAAUGGACAAGCAAAUGUCCAUGCAAUCUAACAAUUGUUAACACAUUCAGUAUGCUUCAUAAAUUAAGACAUUUUUCUACCAUGAUGGGCCCAUAGUACCUAACUAUCCUAACAUGUAAAAGCUAUAAAGAUUCUGGGUAAUAUGUUUAUCUGAUUCACUAAUUAAUAAUAUUAUUAGUUCUCAACUUUGUGAAUGAAAUAAGAAGUAUUAUUAGCACUCAAACUUCCUCUGUAGAUAACAUCCUACCAAACUGAUACAACGUAAUUGCAGCUGUGACUCUAGAGACUAACUUGGUGACCUUCAUAAAUUUUCACUUGUCUGUGGGUAUUGACAUGCAGAUAAAAUUGUUCACUCAGUUGAUAGGUUCCACAAAGUAAUGCAAAUAUUAUGCAUGAAAAUCAUCUUAAUCAAAAUUAAAAAUUCUUUUUAAGGCAAUUUAAAAGACACAUUCCACUCUCUAUCUUAGCAAAUUUUAACCAAUCUAAGUGAGGGUAUGUUUGUAAUUCAGGCAUGCUGUAUCGUUUGAGAAAUAUUUAUUGUAUGCAACAUUGGAUGUGCAUUUUAAAGAGAGAAUAUGUUCCAUCUGUGGCUCACAACUACUCUGCAUUCUGUUCUUUUUGGUCAUGAGCAACAUGAUUGGGGCCUGGCCCCCCUCCUCCCACCUAAACUCCCUUCCUAAGAGAUUCUAACUUGCAUUACUUGCAGGUGAGUU